This 65-nucleotide transfer RNA is filed under the name Amphimerus sp. JM-2019. RNAcentral describes it as "tRNA-His". Lineage: Eukaryota; Metazoa; Platyhelminthes; Trematoda; Opisthorchiida; Opisthorchiidae. The record is from RNAcentral.
UCUUCUGUAGAUUAUUGUACUAAAUCGCUGAUUUGUGGUGUCGGAGAAUUUGUGUAACGGGGGAA